GUGCCGGAGCGCGGCUGGUGGCGCUGGCAUCCAUCCCUGUCCCUUCUGGACUUGGGGUUACCUUGGAAGGAUCCGGAAAAUAGCAAGAAAAUUAGUAUGCCUGUGCUCCCUUGGGACUCACUGGAAACUGUACCGUGACAUCUGCUGGGACUUAGUCUGGGG
Molecule: long non-coding RNA, 162 nt
Filed under: Vombatus ursinus (common wombat)
Lineage: Eukaryota; Metazoa; Chordata; Mammalia; Diprotodontia; Vombatidae
Description: lncRNA (ENSVURG00010005743.1)
Source: RNAcentral